Molecule: ribosomal RNA, 433 nt
Filed under: uncultured bacterium
Lineage: Bacteria
Description: partial 16S ribosomal RNA
Rfam family: Bacterial small subunit ribosomal RNA
Source: RNAcentral
AGCGAACGCUGGCGGCAGGCCUAACACAUGCAAGUCGAACGAACUCUUCGUAGUUAUUUGCGGAGCUGGGAUUAACACGGGGUAACGUACCUUUUGGUUCGGAAUAACUGAGGUAAACUUGAGCUAAUACCAAAUGUGCUCUUCGGGGGUAGGAUUUAUCGCCAUUAGAGCGGCGCUCGUCUGCUUAGCCAGUUGGUGAGGUAACGGCGCACCAACGAGACGAUCAGUAGCUGGUCUGUUACGAUGACCAGCCACGAUGGGAAUGCGACACGGACCACAAUGCUACGCGAGGGAGCAGUGGAGAAUACUACGGGAUGAGGGAAAGCGCGACGAAGCCAUGCCGCGUGAAUGAUGAAGGUCUUAGGAUUGUACAAUUGUUUGUCAGGGGACGAUAAUGACGGUAACGGGUGAAGAAGCACCGGCUAACUUCGUG